CCUACGGGUCGCAGCAGUGAGGAAUAUUGGUCAAUGGACGAGAGUCUGAACCAGCCAAGUAGCGUGAAGGAUGACUGCCCUAUGGGUUGUAAACUUCUUUUAUAUGGGAAUAAAAUGUUCCACGUGUGGGAUUUUGUAUGUACCAUAUGAAUAAGGAUCGGCUAACUCCGUGCCAGCAGCCGCGGUAAUACGGAGGAUCCGAGCGUUAUCCGGAUUUAUUGGGUUUAAAGGGAGCGUAGGUGGAUUGUUAAGUCAGUUGUGAAAGUUUGCGGCUCAACCGUAAAAUUGCAGUUGAAACUGGCAGUCUUGAGUACAGUAGAGGUGGGCGGAAUUCGUGGUGUAGCGGUGAAAUGCUUAGAUAUCACGAAGAACUCCGAUUGCGAAGGCAGUUCACUGGACUGCAACUGACACUGAGGCUCGAAAGUGUGGGUAUCAAACAGGAUUAGAUACCCUAGUAGUC
This 460-nucleotide ribosomal RNA is filed under the name uncultured bacterium. Its description in RNAcentral is "partial 16S ribosomal RNA". It matches the Rfam family "Bacterial small subunit ribosomal RNA", at positions 338 to 795 of the family's 1533-position model. The record is from RNAcentral.